RNAcentral lists this ribosomal RNA (253 nucleotides) under uncultured bacterium. RNAcentral's name for it is "partial 16S ribosomal RNA". It matches the Rfam family "Bacterial small subunit ribosomal RNA", at positions 524 to 776 of the family's 1533-position model. The record is from RNAcentral.
UACGAAGGGGGCUAGCGUUGCUCGGAAUCACUGGGCGUAAAGGGUGCGUAGGUGGUGAGGUAAGUCGGAUGUGAAAGCUCGGAGCUCAACUCCGAAAUGGCAUUGGAAACUACCUUGCUCGAGGGUUGGAGGGGGGACUGGAAUGCUUGGUGUAGCAGUGAAAUGCGUAGAUAUCAAGCGGAACACCAGUGGCGAAGGCGGAUCUCUGGACAGCUCCUGACGCUGAGGCGCGAAGGCUAGGGGAGCAAACGGG